AGAUUGAACGCUGGCGGCGUGCUUAACACAUGCAAGUCGAGCGGCAGCGCGGUAGCAAUACUGGCGGCGAGCGGCGGACGGGUGAGUAACGCUUGGGAAUCUGCCUUUUAGUGGGGGACAACCCGGGGAACUCGGGCUAAUACCGCAUACGCUCUACGGAGGAAAGCCGGGGACCGCAAGGCCUGGCGCUAAUAGAUGAGCCCAAGUCGAUUAGCUAGU
Molecule: ribosomal RNA, 219 nt
Filed under: uncultured soil bacterium
Lineage: Bacteria
Description: partial 16S ribosomal RNA
Rfam family: Bacterial small subunit ribosomal RNA
Source: RNAcentral